GCAGGGGCAGCCUGGGCAGGAACAGCAAGUGUCUCUUCUCCCUCUGCUCCCUGCCCUCCACUCAGAGGUUACUGCCUCUUUGGAGUGGCACUUCCACCUGCCUGCAGCCACCCUUCAUUGGGCAGGAAUCCCAUCAGAUUUUACAAGCCAGGCCGGGUCAGAUCUGGUGAGCACGUGAAUGGAAAUGCCCAGGACAACAGGCACUUUCCCUUGGGAGACGGGGGAGCCAAGUCACGAGCUGGCCGUGCCAAGGCACCAACAGGAAAGCACCGAGCCUCGAGCCUCGCAGCAGCAGACCCCAGAGAGCCGCCACUGGAACUAGCCGGAACUUCCAAAGACAGUCCUCAGAGAAACACUUCAGUUCUGAUGACUCUCACGUCACUUCAUAUUGGAGUGCCAGGAAGCAAGUGAGCAAGUGGACGCAGCAGCUUGCCUUGGAAUCCUGAUGGCCAUACGGACACUAGUGAUUUUCCCAGCCCACCCCAGCUGCUUCACGAAGGAAAAAGGGAAUGAUGGAUGCAACUUUGCUUGGAAUAUUACAUUCUGAGAUGAACAGAUUUGAAUCUAGCAAAGGGAUCUCCACCAAAGAGUUCAAAGAUGACAAGAAAGUGAGGUUUUGGCAAGUCAAGUCACUGACGACUUGACACGAGACGUGGCUUCUGCGUGGAGAGGCCCAUCCCACCUUGAAGAUGCCGUGAGCUCCUGGGUUGUGAUUCCUCAUUAUUUCUACGAUUUAAGGGAAAGGAAACCAGCAUCUCUGAAGCUCUCCUCUGUGCCAGCUUAGGUAAGCUGGAACUAGAUUUCCCAGAAUCUCCUUCACUAUAUGUAUGGUUCCAGAAAAAAAUGCCACCAAAAGAGGAACUUGCAGGGGCUGUGGCAGGCCAAGGUGAAGCAGAAGCUGUCAUAUUCAGAAGUCAGGCUGGAUCAUAUAUGAUGGCUGACAGACACAGAGAGAGGUGCCCCAGUUCCCCGCUCUGCUCUCUGUCCUUGGCUCAGCACCCACCUCAUAUUCUGCAAUGCCGUGGUCCAGGCUCACUGCAGAUGUCUGGCUGCAGACCCAGAGGAGGUGGCCGCACGAAGGCAAGAGCCACCUCACCCACCACACCCACAGCACGUGUAAGGCUGAGGCAGCCGGCCAGAGAACACAGAGUGUCACGACUGGAGAAAAUCGUAAAAUUCCAAAGUUAUGACAGCACAAGGAAAAAAGCCAUUCUGUAUGAGAGCCUCGCCUGCAGGAGACACUCUCCCUGAGGACUUGGAGGAAACAGGCUUCGCAAAGACAGCAACAGGCAGAAUGUUCACUGCCCUUGAAAUUCAUAUGUUGAAAUCCUAAUCCCCAGUGUGAUGGUAUGGAGAGGGGACACCUCUGGGAAGGGAUUAGGCCACAAGGGUGGACCCCUCAGAAUGGCAUGUGUGCCCUUAUGAGACCCCAGAGAGAUUCCCUGCCUCUUCAGCCAUGUGAGGACGCGGCAAGGAGGUGCCACCUAUGAAUGGGAAAGGGGGCUCUCAACAGACACCAAAUCUGCUGGUGUCUUAAUCUUGGACUUCCCAGCCUUCAGAUCUGCUAGAAAUAAGUUUCUGUUGCUCAUAAUCCACCUUGUAUAUGGUUUUUUGGCUAUAGAAACCCAAAGGCACUGCCAGGUGCUGUGGUGCACACCUGUAAUCCCAGCAACCCAGGAGGCUAAGGCUGGGGGAUUGCAGGCUCAAAGUCAGUCUCAGCAACUUAGUGAAGCCCUAAGCAACUUACCGAGACCCUGUGUUGAAAUAAAAAACAAAAAGGGUUAGGGAUGUAGCUCAGGGGUUAAGUACCCCAGGUUCAAUCCCCAGUACCCAAAACCAAAAAACUCAAAUGGACUAAGACAAAUGCUAUUCACACCUGAUCUAGUUUUUAGAGUAAAUUGUGAGCAGAGGUAUUAGUUUUCAAAAGUUAGUAAUGAAGAUCCUAACAUAAAGGAGGUAUAGUCUGCAGGUAAUAGGAACUAUGAGCCCACAGAAAAGGGUCAACCAACUCCACACAACCAAGAUGAAAACCUGCACACCUGUAUAACUUCUAAACACCUAGCCUUACCUGAUUAAGGCUUUUUACCAAGCCCUUACUAAGGAGGAAUUCAGAAAACAGUAAUUGAACCCCAUUUUUAAAAAUUAUGCAUGUGUCUACUAUAGUAUAGUGAUUAAAUGCAUGAUUGCUGGGGCAGCUUUCCUGGGUCCAAAUCCUGAUCUUGCUAUGUCUGACCUGAGGGGGUAGCUCAGAUGCUCCCUGCCUGUUUCCUCAUCUCUAAGAUGAUGAUAAUUAUGGGACAGAUCUCAUAGGGAUGUUUUGAAGAUAAUUAAAUAAAAAUUACAGGAGACCAUUGUUUUGUACCAAACCCCUGCGUUGGACCCCAAGAGACCAGACUCCAAAUCAAAAUGGAGUCACUCAUAUUAAAAGUUCCAUGUCACCAAGAUGAAACUAAGUUGUGUUCUGGCCUUCAGAGAAAUCAGGAGCGAUAAGAGCCGAGUUUCCCAACUAGCCAGUUUCUGCCUUCAUCUUUGCAAAGAAGUAAACUGAUGUUCACCAAUCAGUGAUUUUUCUAUUGUCCUCUCCCUGUCCCAACCUUACAAGGAAAGUAUCUUUAAAAUAGCUGAUCUGCUGUUUGUACUUUCUUUCUUGUUGUUUUAGCCCUUCUCUAUAAAACCAACCCUCUUGUACUUAGCUCACUGGAAUAUUUAUUCUGUUUUGUGGAUUGGAGUGUUACUUGAUUGUAGAAUCACAAA
Marmota monax (woodchuck) is the source of this 2754-nucleotide long non-coding RNA. RefSeq lists it as uncharacterized. The record is from RefSeq and is a predicted model, not a curated record. The transcript has 4 exons. Lineage: Eukaryota; Metazoa; Chordata; Mammalia; Rodentia; Sciuridae.